CAGCCGCCGCGGUAAUACGGAGGGUGCAAGCGUUAUCCGGAUUCACUGGGUUUAAAGGGUGCGUAGGUGGGUCAGUAAGUCAGUGGUGAAAUCUCCGAGCUUAACUCGGAAACUGCCAUUGAUACUAUAGGUCUUGAAUUUUCUGGAGGUAAGCGGAAUAUGUCAUGUAGCGGUGAAAUGCUUAGAUAUGACAUAGAACACCCAUUGCGAAGGCAGCUUACUACGGGAUAAUUGACACUGAGGCACGAAAGCGUGGGGAUCAAACAGGAUUAGAUACCCUGGUAGUCCACGCCCUAAACGAUGGAUACUCGACAUCAGCGAUACACUGUUGGUGUCUGAGCGAAAGCAUUAAGUAUCCCACCUGGGAAGUACGACCGCAAGGUUGAAACUCAAAUGAAUUGACGG
RNAcentral lists this ribosomal RNA (405 nucleotides) under Bacteroidetes bacterium enrichment culture clone LiUU-18-791. RNAcentral's name for it is "bacterial SSU rRNA". It matches the Rfam family "Bacterial small subunit ribosomal RNA", at positions 509 to 916 of the family's 1533-position model. The record is from RNAcentral. Lineage: Bacteria; Pseudomonadati; Bacteroidota.